UACGUAGGGUGCGAGCGUUAAUCGGAAUUACUGGGCGUAAAGCGGGCGUAGACGGUUCGUUAAGCCAGAUGUGAAAUCCCCGGGCUCAACCUGGGAACUGCGUAUGGAACUGGCGGACUAGAGUGUGUUAGAGGGGGGUAGAAUUCCACGUGUAGCGGUGAAAUGCGUAGAGAUGUGGAGGAAUACCGAUGGCGAAGGCAGCCCCCUGGGAUAACACUGACGUUCAUGUGCGAAAGCGUGGGUAGCAAACAGG
RNAcentral lists this ribosomal RNA (253 nucleotides) under uncultured bacterium. RNAcentral's name for it is "partial 16S ribosomal RNA". It matches the Rfam family "Bacterial small subunit ribosomal RNA", at positions 524 to 776 of the family's 1533-position model. The record is from RNAcentral.